Non-coding RNA from Gossypium hirsutum (cotton), 88 nucleotides. The record is from Rfam. NCBI's taxonomy places the organism in Eukaryota, Viridiplantae, Streptophyta, Magnoliopsida, Malvales, Malvaceae.
UUGCCAGUGAGGAUAUCUAUGACAAAUACCAUCUUUCGGGACUGAAUUGCUCUUCGAGCUUUGAUGUCCGGCUGCAAAUCUGAGGCAU